Mesocricetus auratus (golden hamster) is the source of this 266-nucleotide unclassified non-coding RNA. Its record names the gene 7SK. It matches the Rfam family "7SK RNA". From Rfam's summary of the family: 7SK was discovered as an abundant small nuclear RNA in the mid-70s but a possible function has only recently been suggested. Two independent studies have found that 7SK RNA binds the CDK9/cyclin T complex (known as elongation factor P-TEFb). P-TEFb activates transcription by phosphorylating the C-terminal domain of RNA polymerase II. The record is from Ensembl. Lineage: Eukaryota; Metazoa; Chordata; Mammalia; Rodentia; Cricetidae.
GGAUGUGUGGCAAUCCGGCUGAGACAUCUGUCACCCCAUUGAUCUCCGGGAUCAGUCCGGGUGUGCUGGCUGGCUAUGCAGGUGCCGCCUUCCUCUGUCACCGCUCCCGCGUGCCAUCUCUCCCAAAGCUGCAAGAGGAAGACCUUUCUCAUUAGAGGAGGACCGGGCUUUGGCCAAACGUAUAAUGGGUAGCUUUAUCCGCUGAUGAGAACCCUCCAAACAAGCUCACCUUCUCGUUCUUAAUAAAGUCCCCUCUCUGGAUUUUA